GAUGAACGCUGGCGGCGUGCCUAAUACAUGCAAGUCGAGCGAACAGACGAGGAGCUUGCUCCUCUGACGUUAGCGGCGGACGGGCGAGUAACACGUGGAUAACCUACCUAUAAGACUGGGAUAACUUCGGGAAACCGGAGCUAAUACCGGAUAAUAUAUUGAACCGCAUGGUUCACUAGUGAAAGACGGUUUUGCUGUCACUUAUAGAUGGAUCCGCGCCGCAUUAGCUAGUUGGUAAGGUAACGGCUUACCAAGGCAACGAUGCGUAGCCGACCUGAGAGGGUGAUCGGCCACACUGGAACUGAGACACGGUCCAGACUCCUACGGGAGGCAGCAGUAGGGAAUCUUCCGCAAUGGGCGAAAGCCUGACGGAGCAACGCCGCGUGAGUGAUGAAGGUCUUCGGAUCGUAAAACUCUGUUAUUAGGGAAGAACAAAUGUGUAAGUAACUAUGCACGUCUUGACGGUACCUAAUCAGAAAGCCACGGCUAACUACGUG
This 497-nucleotide ribosomal RNA is filed under the name uncultured bacterium. RNAcentral's name for it is "partial 16S ribosomal RNA". It matches the Rfam family "Bacterial small subunit ribosomal RNA", at positions 28 to 507 of the family's 1533-position model. The record is from RNAcentral.